UGAGUAACCUGCCCUUAACUCUGGGAUAACUCCAAGAAAUUGGGGCUAAUACCGGAUAUGACCGCUGACCGCAUGGUCUGGUGGUGGAAAGAUUUAUCGGCUGGGGAUGGGCCCGCGGCCUAUCAGCUUGUUGGUGGGGUAGUGGCCUACCAAGGCGACGACGGGUAGCCGGCCUGAGAGGGUGACCGGCCACACUGGGACUGAGACACGGCCCAGACUCCUACGGGAG
Molecule: ribosomal RNA, 229 nt
Filed under: uncultured bacterium
Lineage: Bacteria
Description: partial 16S ribosomal RNA
Rfam family: Bacterial small subunit ribosomal RNA
Source: RNAcentral